Molecule: long non-coding RNA, 2378 nt
Filed under: Malus domestica (apple)
Lineage: Eukaryota; Viridiplantae; Streptophyta; Magnoliopsida; Rosales; Rosaceae
Description: long non-coding RNA (MDOM_LNC003311)
Source: RNAcentral
GAUCAUCAUGGGGAAAUUGUAUUGGAACUUUGGCUUGAUCUAUUGCCUUCAAGAGUUCUGUUGAUGAUGUUUUCGGUAAGGUUUUUUACGUCAGAACUCUCUUCCGCAUAAACUAAGUAUAGAAAAACCAAACAUUAAAAACCAUUCAAAUUAUACAAACAAGAUUGACGGUUGGAUCAUUGAAAUUAGUUUCAUAGAAUUCGUAUCUCAUCCAAACCAUAGAUACUUAGACUUUAUUUAUACUUUCAUUAAGUAUAACAUAAGAUUUUGUGGUAUCCACUUGUGUAAAUAUUUUAAAUUGACGAUCGAAUUCAUUCAUUAUAUUCGUAUAGGGUCAACAAGUGUAGUUGUAAAAAAUCAUCAAAAUCGGAGUUAAAAAAACCGUUAAAUCGUGAUUUUUUGUUUUAUAACCGUCGAAAAGUUUUGUCUCAUUACUUGAUCUCUGAAUGUUUGUUUUUUGUGAUUUUUGGCGUAUGCGAUCUCGAAGCAUAUACAAACAAGUUUGACGGUUGGAUCGUUGAAAUUAGUUUCAUAGAAUUCGUAUCCCAUCAAAACGAUAGAUUCACUAACACUUAGAGUUUAUUUAUACUUUCAUUAAGUAAAACAUAAGAUUUUGUGGUAUCCACUUGUGUAAAUAUUUUAAAUUGACGAUCGAAUUCAUUCAUUGUAUUCGUAUAGGGUCAACAAGUGUAGUUGUAAAAAAUUAUCAAAAUCGAAGUUAAAAUAACCGUUAAAUCGUGAUUUUUUGUUUUAUAACCGUCGCAAAGUUUUGUCUCAUUACUUGAUCUCUGAAUGUUUGUUUUUUGUGAUUUUUGGCGUAUGCGAUCUCAAAGCAUAUACAAACAAGUUUGACGGUUUGAUCGUUAAAAUUAGUUUCAUAGAAUUUGUAUCCCAUCAAAACGAUAGAUUCACUAACACUUAGAGUUUAUUUAUACUUUCAUUAAGUAUAAAAUAAGAUUUUGUGGUAUCCACUUGUGUAAAUAUUUUAAAUUGACGAUCGAAUUCAUUCAUUGUAUUCGUAUAGGGUCAACAAGUUUAGUUGUAAAAAAUUAUCAAAAUCGGAGUUAAAAUAACCGUUAAAUCGUGAUUUUUUGUUUUAUAACCGUUAAAAAAUUUUGUCUCAUUACUUGAUCUCUGAAUGUUUGUUUUUUGUGAUUUUUGGCAUAUGCGAUCUCGAAACAUAUACAAACAAGAUUGACGGUUAGAUCAUUGAAAUUAGUUUUAUAGAAUUCGUAUCCCAUCCAAAGGAUAGAUACUUAGAGUUUAUUUAUACUUUCAUUAAGUAUAACAUAAGAUUUUGUGGUAUUCACUUGUGUAAAUAUUUUAAAUUGACGAUCGAAUUCAUUCAUUGUAUUCGUAUAGGGUCAACAAGUGUAGUUGUAAAAAAUCAUCAAAAUCGAAGUUAAAAUAACCGUUAAAUCGUGAUUUUUUGUUUUACAACCGUCGAAACGUUUUGUCUCAUUACUUGAUCUCUGAAUGUUUAUUUUUUGUGAUUUUUUGCGUAUACGAUCUCGAAGCAUAUACAAACAAGUUUGACGGUUGGAUCGUUGAAAUUAGUUUCAUAGAAUUUGUAUCCCAUCAAAACGAUAGAUUCACUAACACUUAGAAUUUAUUUAUACUUUCAUUAAGUAUAACAUAAGAUUUUGUGGUAUCCACUUGUGUAAAUAUUUUAAAUUGACGAUCGAAUGUAUUCAUUGUAUUCGUAUAAGGUCAACAAGUGUACUUGUAAAAAAUCAUCAAAAUCGAAGUUAAAAUAACCGUUAAAUCGUGAUUUUUUGUUUUAUAACCGUCGAAAAGUUUUGUCUCAUUACUUGAUCUCUGAAUGUUUAUUUUUUUGUGAUUUUUGGCAUAUGCGAUCUCGAAGCAUAUACAAACAAGAUUGACGGUUGGAUCGUUGAAAUUAGUUUCAUAGAAUUCGUAUCUCAUCAAAACGAUAGAUUCACUAACAUUUAGAGUUUAUUUAUACUUUCAUUAAGUAUAACAUAAGAUUUUGUGGUAUACACUUGUGUAAAUAUUUUAAAUUGAUGAUCGAAUUCAUUCAUUGUAUUCGUAUAGGGUCAACAAGUGUAGUUGUAAAAAAUCAUCAAAAUCGGAGUUAAAAUAACCGUUAAAUCGUGAUUUUUUGUUUUAUAACCGUCGAAAUUUUUUGUCUCAUUACUUGAUCUCUGAAUGUUUUUUUUUUGUGAUUUUUGGCGUAUGCGAUCUCGAAGCAUAUACAAACAAGAUUGACGGUUGGAUUGUUGAAAUUAGUUUCAUAGAAUUCGUAUCCCAUCAAAACGAUAGAUUCACUAACACUUAGAGUUUAUUUAUACUUUCAUUAAGUAUAACAUAAGAUUGUGUGGUAUCCACUUGUGUAAAUAUUUUAAAUUGACGAUCGA